UGGCCGCAGUAUUUUGACUGUGCAAAGGUAGCAUAAUCAUUAGUCUUUUAAUUGAAGGCUUGUAUGAAUGGCUGGACGAAGUAUUAACUGUUUCAUAUAAAUUUAUGAUAAAAUUUUAUAUUUUAGUAAAAAAGCUAAAAUUGAAUUAAUAGACGAGAAGACCCUAUAAAUCUUUAUAUUUAAAAUUAUUUUUUAUUUUUUAAAUUAAAAUUAAAUAUUAAUUAAUUUAAAUAUUUUAUUGGGGUGAUAUUAAAAUUUAUAAAACUUUUAAUUUUAUUUUUACAUUAAUUUAUGUUUUAUUGAUCCAUUAAUAAUGAUUAUAAGAAUAAGUUACUUUAGGGAUAACAGCGUAAUUUUUUUGGAAAGUUCUUAUUAAUAAAAAAGUUUGCGACCUCGAUGUUGGAUUAAGAAUUAAAUUUAGGUGUAGAAGCUUAAAAAUUAAGUCUGUUCGACUUUUAAAUUCUUACAUGAUCUGAGUUCAGACCGGUGUAAGCCAGGUUGGUUUCUAUCUUUAAUUAAUUUUAAUAUUUUAGUACGAAAGGACCAAAUAUUAGUUAAAAUAUUAAUUAUUUUUUUAUGAAAUUAAUUAAUU
This 592-nucleotide ribosomal RNA is filed under the name Tomoplagia trivittata. RNAcentral describes it as "partial 16S ribosomal RNA". The stretch from base 341 to 500 matches the Rfam family "Bacterial large subunit ribosomal RNA", at positions 2473 to 2632 of the family's 2925-position model. The record is from RNAcentral. Lineage: Eukaryota; Metazoa; Arthropoda; Insecta; Diptera; Tephritidae.